GCUGAGCCUGGACCAGAAGGGCGGCCGGCCGAUGUCUGGAGGCGGGGCCGGGCCCACAGCCACCCCAGGGACCUGCGGGGUCUCUAGAGGGAAAACCUGGAGUGUCAUUCCAGGGGCAAAAUGAAAACCAGAGGGCGGACUUUGGGGACAGGGAGGAGGGAAAGAAAAAGGAUCAAGAUGGAUGUGACAGUGUGCCGCCACUAUACCUGCAGUGAAAGCUACACGCAACACCUGAGAGCAGACUCCUCCAGGAGCGCACCUGGGGCCGCUUGCACCGUCAGAGGUCCCUGAAUCUGGGGCCGACACCAUCCACUUUCCCAGAAGAAAUCGGAAUUUCAUUUCUAACUGCUGGCGUCACAAAAACGCUGCGUGACUCAGCCUAGGCCCUCUUGGUGCAGGAGGGAAAUGUGCUCUCCGGAGUCCUUAGGCAGGGGCUGCCGCAUGCAGGACACAGCCCAGGCCUUGAGUCUUAAAGUAACUUUAGCGCAGGCGUAAAUAGCAGUCUGGGGCUGGUGGCCGAGACCCUGGCAGUGUAGUGAGACCCACAGGGCUCUGAUGAGGAGGCCACAGGCCUGACCCAUCCCAGAAAAAGGUAGAGGGCUCCUGGCCAGGGGUCAGACACCCCUCAGAGGAUCCUUGAGCCUCCGGAGGCCAAGCCCUGAGCUCAGGCCCAGGACCCUGAAAACUAAGAUGGGGGAGGAAGAACCCCACAGCCCUGGACAGCCGGACGGGGCCCACGUGGGCUGGAGAAGGACAGUGGCUUUGGGGGCAGGGCCACAGGACCUUGCACUUCCCUGCCGCCUGGGUGGUCCUGGGGGCCUCCGGACUUUGCAAAGGUGGGCUUCCUGCCAGGCACUUCGAUUGUUCCAGACAUUGCUGUGGCUCCUGUGAGAAUUACCAGGGCAGAAGCACUGCCAGGAUCCGGAUAUGUUUAUGGAAUUGCCCCAGGGCUGACCCACAGGCUCUUCCUCCACCUCCAGCGAGCUCAGCAAAUCCUUUGGCACAGGCUCAGGAAGGGAGCGACACACUGUGCUGCCUUCUUCCUUGCACACAGGCUCAGCACUUGGCCCCAGGAUGGGCAGAGUGAUCUAUCCAUGCAUCAGUGUUUUAGUUCGGCCUACAGUCUAACCAGAGGGGCCAGGAAAUGGCCCAGUGGAGAGGAGAAGCAAGUUUCAAACAGGUGGAUGGACAGAGGUGACAGCACCCGAACUCCAACCAGAACCCAGCCAAACUAAGAAAAUGUUGUCAUCUCCUACAUCAGAAAGUCUGGCUUCUGCGGCUUCUGGUGGGUCGAUCCAUGUGGCUUUGACUUUGGAAAUCUAGCAGGUUUGGGAGUUAUAUCUCUUCCCCUAUAUCAGUUUGAUCUGUCAUAAAGGAGCCAGAAGUUCUGGGUUUGGGGCCUGAUUUUUCCCUGGGC
RNAcentral lists this long non-coding RNA (1417 nucleotides) under Fukomys damarensis (Damara mole-rat). RNAcentral describes it as "lncRNA (ENSFDAG00000027818.1)". Lineage: Eukaryota; Metazoa; Chordata; Mammalia; Rodentia; Bathyergidae. The record is from RNAcentral.